UACGUAGGGCGCAAGCGUUGUCCGGAAUUAUUGGGCGUAAAGAGCUCGUAGGCGGUUUGUCGCGUCUGUCGUGAAAGCUUGGGGCUUAACCCCAAGUCUGCGGUGGAUACGGGCAGACUAGAGGCAGGUAGGGGAGAACGGAAUUCCUGGUGUAGCGGUGAAAUGCGCAGAUAUCAGGAGGAACACCGAUGGCGAAGGCAGGUCUCUGGGCAGUAACUGACGCUGAGGAGCGAAAGCAUGGGGAGCGAACAGG
This 253-nucleotide ribosomal RNA is filed under the name uncultured bacterium. RNAcentral describes it as "partial 16S ribosomal RNA". It matches the Rfam family "Bacterial small subunit ribosomal RNA", at positions 524 to 776 of the family's 1533-position model. The record is from RNAcentral.